Molecule: ribosomal RNA, 450 nt
Filed under: uncultured bacterium
Lineage: Bacteria
Description: partial 16S ribosomal RNA
Rfam family: Bacterial small subunit ribosomal RNA
Source: RNAcentral
GUGGGGAAUUUUGGACAAUGGGCGCAAGCCUGAUCCAGCAAUGCCGCGUGCAGGAAGAAGGCCUUCGGGUUGUAAACUGCUUUUGUACGGAACGAAACGGUCCUGGUUAAUACCUGGGGCUAAUGACGGUACCGUAAGAAUAAGCACCGGCUAACUACGUGCCAGCAGCCGCGGUAAUACGUAGGGUGCGAGCGUUAAUCGGAAUUACUGGGCGUAAAGCGUGCGCAGGCGGUGCUGUAAGACAGGCGUGAAAUCCCCGGGCGCAACCUGGGAAUUGCGCUUGUGACUGCAGUGCUGGAGUACGGCAGAGGGGGAUGGAAUUCCGCGUGUAGCAGUGAAAUGCGUAGAUAUGCGGAGGAACACCGAUGGCGAAGGCAAUCCCCUGGGCCUGCACUGACGCUCAUGCACGAAAGCGUGGGGAGCAAACAGGAUUAGAUACCCUGGUAGUCC